RNAcentral lists this ribosomal RNA (422 nucleotides) under uncultured bacterium. Its description in RNAcentral is "bacterial SSU rRNA". It matches the Rfam family "Bacterial small subunit ribosomal RNA", at positions 355 to 774 of the family's 1533-position model. The record is from RNAcentral.
UGAGGAAUAUUGGUCAAUGGGGGCAACCCUGAACCAGCCAAGUCGCGUGAAGGAUGAAGGUCUUAUGGAUUGUAAACUUCUUUUAUACAGGAAUAAAUUGGGGGACGUGUCCCCUUUUGCAUGUACUGUAUGAAUAAGGAUCGGCUAACUCCGUGCCAGCAGCCGCGGUAAUACGGAGGAUCCGAGCGUUAUCCGGAUUUAUUGAGUUUAAAGGGUGCGCAGGCGGGAUGUUAAGUCGGCGGUGAAAUUUUGCAGCUCAACUGUAAAAGUGCCUUCGAUACUGGCCUCCUUGAGUGUAGAUGAAGUAGGCGGAAUUUGUGGUGUAGCGGUGAAAUGCUUAGAUAUCACGAGGAACUCCGAUUGCGCAGGCAGCUUACUAAACUACAACUGACGCUCAUGCACGAAGGCGUGGGGAUCAAACA